GGUUAAAAACCUAUAAAAGUCUCCAUGUCUCAACAGAAUGGUGACUCAGGGUAGCAGAAUGUGAGAAACUUCUUGUGCUUCUUUCACUGUGGCUAAAGAGGACAAUGUGGCUAGAGAAGACUGAAGGCUGGAUUGCUUCAAGCUGUUUUGUUUCAGCUGCAGUGAGGAACAAUGCCUGAAGCUGGGAAAGGGAUUGAGACAACAUGAUGGAGGUGCAAGAAACUUCAGAGGAAGGUGCUUGGUUAAAGACCUGGAGGUAUGGAAGUGUCCAGUCUGUCUUCAAGGCCUAACAGUGAAUGAAGACCAGAACCCAUGUCUCCAUGUUUUCCAUAGAUCAAGAGAAGGGAACUGUUAACAGACGACGGAGGAACUGGAAUGAGACGGUGCAAGUGCGGUGGAAGUCAACUUUACUGGAAGGUAGGUUUGGGUGUACAAGGAUGGCUCUUCCUCUUCAGUUGAAGACCAGAUGGAAAGGGCGUGCCUCCUAUUUUCACAGGUAAG
Molecule: long non-coding RNA, 501 nt
Filed under: Penaeus japonicus
Lineage: Eukaryota; Metazoa; Arthropoda; Malacostraca; Decapoda; Penaeidae
Description: uncharacterized LOC122242296, transcript variant X1
Source: RNAcentral